CGGCCGUCUGAGGCGUUUACUGGUGACGGUCCCCGGGCGCUGAGGCUAUGAGCCCCCGGGAGGUGCUGGGCCAGGCGGCUCGGCUGGCCUCCUCUGGUCUCCUCCUGCAGGUGUUGUUUCGAUUGAUCACCUUUGUCUUAAAUGCAUUUAUUCUUCGCUUCCUGUCAAAGGAAAUCGUUGGCAUAGUGAAUGUCAGGCUAACACUGCUUUACUCUACCACCAUCUUCCUGGCCAGAGAGGCCUUCCGCAGAGCAUGUCUGAGUGGCAGCACCCAGCGGGACUGGAGCCAGACCCUCAACCUCCUGUGGCUAACAGUCCCUUUGGGUGUGUUUUGGUCCGUGUUCCUGGGGUGGGCCUGGCUACAGUUGCUCGCAGUGCCCGAUCCUGACGUCAUCCCCCACUAUGGAACUGGAGUGGUGUUGUUUGGGUUCUCGGCAGUGGUGGAACUUCUGGGAGAGCCCUUCUGGGUCUUGGCACAAGCACAUAUGUUUGUCAAGCUUAAGGUGAUUGCUGAGAGCCUGUCAGUAAUCCUCAAGAGCGUCCUGACAGCUUUUCUCGUGGUGUGUUUGCCUCACUGGGGACUGUAUAUUUUCUCUUUGGCCCAGCUUUUCUAUACUGCAGUUCUGGUGCUCUGCUAUGUUAUUUAUUUCACAAAGUUACUGGGCUCCCCAGAAUCAGCCAAGCAACAAGUUCUUCCUGUCUCCAGAAUGACAGAUCUGUUACCCACUAUUACGAGAAGUAGAGCUUUUGUAAAUUGGGAAGAGGCUAAAUUGACUUGGAGUUUCUUCAAACAGUCUUUCUUGAAACAGAUUUUGACAGAAGGCGAGCGAUAUGUGAUGACAUUUUUGAACGUGUUAAAUUUUGGGGAUCAGGGCGUGUAUGAUAUAGUGAAUAAUCUUGGCUCCCUUGUGGCCAGAUUAAUUUUCCAGCCAAUAGAAGAGAGUUUUUAUAUAUUCUUUGCUAAGGUGCUGGAGAGAGAAAAGGAUGCUACACUUCAGAAGCAGGAGGAUGUUGCUGUGGCCGCCGCGGUUUUGGAGUCCCUGCUAAAGCUGGCCCUGCUCACUGGCCUGACCAUCUCUGUUUUCGGCUUUGCCUAUUCUCAACUGGCUUUGGACAUCUAUGGAGGGGCCAUGCUUAGCUCAGGAUCAGGUCCUGUCCUGCUGCGUGCCUAUUGUCUUUACGUCCUCCUGCUUGCCAUCAAUGGAGUGACCGAAUGUUUCACAUUUGCUGCCAUGAGCAAAGAGGAGGUUGACAGGUACAAUUUCACAAUGCUGGGCCUCUCAUCUUCGUUCCUGCUGUUAUCCUAUCUCCUGACCCAUUGGUGUGGCAGCGUGGGCUUCAUCUUGGCCAAUUGCUUCAACAUGGGCAUUCGGAUCACACAGAGCCUUUGCUUCAUCCACCGCUACUACCGGAAGAGUCCCCACAAGCCCCUGGCCGGCCUGUUCCUGUCACCAGUCCUCCUCGGGGCAUUUGCCCUCAGUGGUGGCAUUACUGCUGUUUCCGAGGUGUUCCUCUGCUGUGAGCGGGGCUGGCCAGCCAUGCUGGUGCACGUCGCUGUGGGGGCCCUCUGUUUGGGAGUGACUCUUGGGACAGCAUUCCUCACAGAGACCAAGCUGAUCCACUUUCUUAGGACUCAGUUAGGUGUGUCCAGACUCACUGACAAAACGACGUGACCUCGCGGAAGCCCUGUGGCACCUGGACCAGCUGUGGGGCAGUUUUAUGGUGGAACAUGUUUUUUAUGCAGAAGAGCCAAGUUAGGGGUCUGUAGUGGAGUGAGACCAACACACAGGGCAUUAACACAACAGUUUUAUGAACAAACCAGAUUAGCACGGCGCAUUUUUAUGUUCUUGAGCUAGAGCUGAAGAUUCCUUUCUUCCUCAUGUGGCUUGUGAAAUCCCUAAGUGGCAUCUCUCCAAUGACAAGAGGAUGUUCUUGCAGCACUGCAGGUGAAGAGGAAACGAAAGAUCCUUCUCAGCCCAGCUUGCCCGGAGGAGCUUAGAAAGUGAGGACAUGGGUAACGGAGACUGCCGGAGGCCUUCUGACUCUUGGCCAACUCAGGUAGGCAAGCCUGGGGAAGCAAAGCCACAGCUUCCAGGGAGAGCCAGCAAAUGACCUCUUUCAGGCUCAGCCUGAGUGGCCCCCCCAGAGCAAGAGGGGAUGCUUCCAAAGCUUGUUAAAUGAUUUUCAGCAAUUUCAGAAAUUACCUCAACUGGUAGUUUAAAUUUCCCUGUAGCCUUAGAUUAAAGCAGAAAGAAAAAAGGUGACAGAAGAGAAUGUGGCUUUGUCCAAGGAGGGCCAGCUGCUGUCGGCAGCUUCUGAAGAAAAUGGAAGGGUCUGCGUUGGUCCCGCCAUGUGGGUGGGCAGCCAUGGGCACUGGCUCCCCUGACCUCAGCUUUAGGCCUGGGCCAUGGUGGCUGUGAGGACACUGCCGAAACUCCCCCCGCCGCCAGCCUCGAUCUCCAGUUUGCCAGUGUCCUCACCUUGAACCCACUCAUCAAAGCUCUUCUGAAACUUGUUGAGUUCUUCCUCCUCACCCUAAAAAACACAACAAAAACAACCAUUGCCUCUGCCAUCAGCCUCUCAGACUUAACCUCUAUAAACUUCUAUUUUGUUUGUUGUUUUUCCUUCUCUGGACUGGGAUAAAGGAUGCCAGGUUCAGACCAACCAGCUUUCCCCUUCCAGAAGCAGCUGGGAGGAAGAGAAAGGCCAGAACUUAGGGUGCCCAGAGGGCUCUGUCUUGAGUGCUACUAUUAAGGUGGGAUUUUCCUAAGAAGGGAAGCGUGUUCUGCCCACAGUUAGGACUCAAGGAGAGCAGGGAGACACCAGGCACGUCUGGGUCUGGCACCGCUCCUUGGGGGAGGAGUAAGGCUGUUGGCCUUUGGGGUCUGCGUGGUGGGGGUCCGUCAGGCCUGCCUCUUGCUCCUCCUCCUCCUCCUGCUCUCUUCAAAAGCCUGUGACCUGGGUGUGCCACAGAGCCCGGUGCUCCAGGCCUCCCCACUCCCAUCAGCUUCUGUGGGCCUCUCCCCCAACUCUGCAAGCUUUCUGGUUGUCUUCGCAGCUGGGAGAUGAUGUUUUGGCUCCAGGGACCAGCUGUUGAUACAGAUAAUCAACAGAGCCAGGGAGCCUGAAAAUCACGCUCUAAUUCCAGGCCUGCCGCUGUCUGUUCAUAAGAUCCUCUUCUCCAUCUACAAAAGGUUCUAAUCCCUACUCAACUGUUGCUCUAGGACCAUGGUGGGGGCCAAGAAAAAGUCACCAUGCAGCACUAUUUGGGGCUGAGUGGAGAGUGGGAAAGCAGGUGGGCCUGUGUGCUCCGAGGCUGGAGCCUGGGCCUGCGUUCAGACAGGGGAGCUAGACCAGAGCAGAAAUCAUCACAGAGUCUAAAAUAUCUCCGGGUAUUGUUCUUCCUGGUAGCAAACGAUCUUAUCUCUGACAGCAUUAUGUAUUUUAGGUAUUUCUUAUAUUAACUUAUAAGUUGUAAAUUAUAAAGUAUCCUGGGCAGCCAGUGUCCGGUAGACAGUUAGAAACGCCCCAUCCUGUCCAUGGCCUCUUUUUACUUUGCAUGUGGUGCACACAUCUUGCCAUGUACACACUGCCCUCUACAUUGUUCUUUUUUACUAUACAGUGUACCAGUUAAGUUGUCCCCAGUUUUCCCUACAUUGUAAACCAUGUGGUAGAGAAUAUCUUGACACAGAGACCUGUUCUGCAUUUUGCCCACUGAUGGAGCCUGAGACCACUCUUGCUGUAUCAGAGCAGGGCCCUGCCUCUCGGCCCCAGCUUCACCCUAGAGGAAGCCCCGGGAUGGAAGGAAGCCUCUCCAGGUCACACUGUGUUAAUGACCAGCCAGCCUGGAGCCCAGUCCCAGGACCUGCUAGCCAGUGGGCCAUACCCCUCCUUUCACAUGAAAGAGGCUUUGCGCAAUGCCAGGCACCCAAGCCAUGCUCAGCGGUAACUGUGAGAUCAUGGCAGCCUGUCACUGGGUCAUUCAGCCGACUGUCUUUCCCACUGCAGAAGCCGGGAAACUCCUGGAGGAGCAGUGGACUUUGGUGCCUCUGGUGAGCACAAGCCAGCAACGAGGACCCGACCCUCCAGGCUCCACUGCCUCCUUGGCUGCAGGUGGAGUGUGUCUGGCACAGGGAACUGCUUCCCAAGGUGUCAGGCAAGUCAUUGAUACCCCAGGCCUCCCCCUGGAGAAUCUAACUAAUCAGCCUGGCUGGAUGGGGAACUUGGGAACUAAAGUUACCAGUAAACAGAAAGGAAUUGAAACCACCCUCUGCUCCUGCUCCUCCCACGGGGUGACGUGAUCUCCUCAGGGAAGUGGCUUUGGGCCUUAUUUCCCUGCCCAGAGGCAUAGGGUGCAGCCGGUUAGGCUCGAGGCCUUAUUUGUGCAGCCUUCCUGGGUGCUUGGUGAGCCCCCGGCCCAUAGGUGGAGUCCAUGGUCUUGACAAGGUCACUCCAAGCUCUCAGAGCUGCAUGUGGAUCCCUGCUAGGCUGUCUCCCAACUCUGCCACCCUGGACGAGUUACUCUACCUCUCCAGCCUCAGCCUGCUUUCUAUCUAAACUCUACCUAUUUUUAUUUUCAGUUUUUCUUUUGAUCAAAAAAACACAUGUACAUAGUUUUAAAAGAUAACCCCCAAAGGGCAGGUUCUGCCCCCCUCCAAGCUUCCUUCUCCUUGGCCCAUUGUUUUAGUUCUUUUCAUCAUUCCUUCUUCUGUUUCCCUUCAUAUUUCUAAGUAAUUUGCUUAUAAUGCUAUUUCUUGAUUGUUUCUGCUUUAGAAUAUUGACCUCCUCGUAUGGAAAAAUGAGCUCUGAUGGCCACCUCCCUGCACACUUACCUUUCCAUCCUCCCAGUGUUAUGAUUUGGGGUAAAUUGAUAUUCAUGUUCACACGGUUAAAACUAUAGAAACAUUGUUCUCUGCUAAACCAAGUAGUAUCCUAUUUCCUUUCUACUACAAUCCUCAAGCUAUUAAUGGUCUCGUUAUUUCAUUUGCUUUUUAAAAAAUACUUUAUGCUGUCCCCUACAAAAUUAUAAAACUCUGAGCAAACACUAUAAAGCUCUUGGCAACAUGACUAACCUCAGCAAGUAUCACGGAGUCUGUGUUUUCCCUGGAGACUUUGCUCAGGGAGCCCCUCACCCCCCCUCCUCCACUCUCACGGUCCCAUCUGUGGGCCCCUCCCUUCCCCAGAGGGAAAAGGCUCAGAGAAGUUAAGGAACUUUGCCCAACAUCACAGCAGUAGUAAAUGGGGGCAGAGAUGUGGACCUAGCCCAGGAGAUAGAGUUACGGUCAAGAGCCACCACCCCCUCACUGGAGGAUGCUG
Molecule: RNA transcript, 5316 nt
Organism: Aethalodelphis obliquidens (Pacific white-sided dolphin)
Lineage: Eukaryota; Metazoa; Chordata; Mammalia; Artiodactyla; Delphinidae
Gene: RFT1
Gene name: RFT1 glycolipid translocator homolog
Exons: 15
Source: RefSeq, a predicted model, not a curated record